RNAcentral lists this ribosomal RNA (474 nucleotides) under Rhynchaenus fagi. Its description in RNAcentral is "partial 16S ribosomal RNA". It matches the Rfam family "Bacterial large subunit ribosomal RNA", at positions 1832 to 2566 of the family's 2925-position model. The record is from RNAcentral. Lineage: Eukaryota; Metazoa; Arthropoda; Insecta; Coleoptera; Curculionidae.
CUUUUGACUAUAAUUUAAGGUCUGACCUGCCCAAUGAGUUUAUUAAAUGGCCGCGGUAUCUUGACCGUGCAAAGGUAGCAUAAUCAUUAGNDWWUUAAUUGGAAGCUUGUAUGAAAGGUUGGAUGAGGGAAAAGCUGUCUCUUUAAAAAUUAUAUAGAACUUUAUUUUUAAGUGAAAAAGCUUAAAUAUUUAUAAAAGACGAGAAGACCCUAUAGAGUUUUAUAUUUUUUCUUUUUAAGUUUUUUAGUAUUCACAAUUUUAAUUGGAAAAAGUAUUUAAUUGGGGUGAUUGAAAAAUUGAAUUAACUUUUUUUAUAUUUUAACAUUGAUUUAUGUAUAAAUGAUCCUUUUUUUAAGAUUAAAAGAUUAAAUUACCUUAGGGAUAACAGCGUUAUUUUUUUUAAGAGUUCAAAUCGAAAAAAAAGAUUGCGACCUCGAUGUUGGAUUAAAAUUAAUUUUUGGUGCAGAAGCUAAA